Molecule: ribosomal RNA, 496 nt
Filed under: uncultured bacterium
Lineage: Bacteria
Description: partial 16S ribosomal RNA
Rfam family: Bacterial small subunit ribosomal RNA
Source: RNAcentral
AUGAACGCUGGCGGCGUGCCUAAUACAUGCAAGUCGAGCGAACAGACGAGGAGCUUGCUCCUCUGACGUUAGCGGCGGACGGGUGAGUAACACGUGGAUAACCUACCUAUAAGACUGGGAUAACUUCGGGAAACCGGAGCUAAUACCGGAUAAUAUAUUGAACCGCAUGGUUCAAUAGUGAAAGACGGUUUUGCUGUCACUUAUAGAUGGAUCCGCGCCGCAUUAGCUAGUUGGUAAGGUAACGGCUUACCAAGGCAACGAUGCGUAGCCGACCUGAGAGGGUGAUCGGCCACACUGGAACUGAGACACGGUCCAGACUCCUACGGGAGGCAGCAGUAGGGAAUCUUCCGCAAAGGGCGAAAGCCUGACGGAGCAACGCCGCGUGAGUGAUGAAGGUCUUCGGAUCGUAAAACUCUGUUAUUAGGGAAGAACAAAUGUGUAAGUAACCAUGCACGUCUUGACGGUACCUAAUCAGAAAGCCACGGCUAACUACGUG